AAAUUGAAGAGUUUGAUCAUGGCUCAGAUUGAACGCUGGCGGCAGGCCUAACACAUGCAAGUCGAACGGUAACAGGAAGCAGCUUGCUGCUUCGCUGACGAGUGGCGGACGGGUGAGUAAUGUCUGGGAAACUGCCUGAUGGAGGGGGAUAACUACUGGAAACGGUGGCUAAUACCGCAUAACGUCGCAAGACCAAAGAGGGGGACCUUCGGGCCUCUUGCCAUCAGAUGUGCCCAGAUGGGAUUAGCUGGUUGGUGAGGUAACGGCUCACCAAGGCGACGAUCCCUAGCUGGUCUGAGAGGAUGACCAGCCACACUGGAACUGAGACACGGUCCAGACUCCUACGGGAGGCAGCAGUGGGGAAUAUUGCACAAUGGGCGCAAGCCUGAUGCAGCCAUGCCGCGUGUAUGAAGAAGGCCUUCGGGUUGUAAAGUACUUUCAGCGGGGAGGAAGGUGUUGUGGUUAAUAACCGCAGCAAUUGACGUUACCCGCAGAAGAAGCACCGGCUAACUCCGUGCCAGCAGCCGCGGUAAUACGGAGGGUGCAAGCGUUAAUCGGAAUUACUGGGCGUAAAGCGCACGCAGGCGGUCUGUCAAGUCGGAUGUGAAAUCCCCGGGCUCAACCUGGGAACUGCAUUCGAAACUGGCAGGCUUGAGUCUUGUAGAGGGGGGUAGAAUUCCAGGUGUAGCGGUGAAAUGCGUAGAGAUCUGGAGGAAUACCGGUGGCGAAGGCGGCCCCCUGGACAAAGACUGACGCUCAGGUGCGAAAGCGUGGGGAGCAAACAGGAUUAGAUACCCUGGUAGUCCACGCCGUAAACGAUGUCUACUUGGAGGUUGUGCCCUUGAGGCGUGGCUUCCGGAGCUAACGCGUUAAGUAGACCGCCUGGGGAGUACGGCCGCAAGGUUAAAACUCAAAUGAAUUGACGGGGGCCCGCACAAGCGGUGGAGCAUGUGGUUUAAUUCGAUGCAACGCGAAGAACCUUACCUGGUCUUGACAUCCACAGAACUUUCCAGAGAUGGAUUGGUGCCUUCGGGAACUGUGAGACAGGUGCUGCAUGGCUGUCGUCAGCUCGUGUUGUGAAAUGUUGGGUUAAGUCCCGCAACGAGCGCAACCCUUAUCCUUUGUUGCCAGCGGUUAGGCCGGGAACUCAAAGGAGACUGCCAGUGAUAAACUGGAGGAAGGUGGGGAUGACGUCAAGUCAUCAUGGCCCUUACGACCAGGGCUACACACGUGCUACAAUGGCGCAUACAAAGAGAAGCGACCUCGCGAGAGCAAGCGGACCUCAUAAAGUGCGUCGUAGUCCGGAUUGGAGUCUGCAACUCGACUCCAUGAAGUCGGAAUCGCUAGUAAUCGUGGAUCAGAAUGCCACGGUGAAUACGUUCCCGGGCCUUGUACACACCGCCCGUCACACCAUGGGAGUGGGUUGCAAAAGAAGUAGGUAGCUUAACCUUCGGGAGGGCGCUUACCACUUUGUGAUUCAUGACUGGGGUGAAGUCGUAACAAGGUAACCGUAGGGGAACCUGCGGUUGGAUCACCUCCUUA
RNAcentral lists this ribosomal RNA (1542 nucleotides) under Salmonella enterica. RNAcentral's name for it is "bacterial SSU rRNA". It matches the Rfam family "Bacterial small subunit ribosomal RNA". Lineage: Bacteria; Pseudomonadati; Pseudomonadota; Gammaproteobacteria; Enterobacterales; Enterobacteriaceae. RNAcentral also lists the same sequence under 1 other name. The record is from RNAcentral.